GACGAACGCUGGCGGCGUGCUUAACACAUGCAAGUCGAACGGAGCGAAUGAAAGCUUGCUUUUAUAAGCUUAGUGGCAAACGGGUGAGUAACACGUAGGCAACCUGCCGACAGGAUGGGGACAACAUUCCGAAAGGAAUGCUAAUACCGAAUGAAGCGCAGGAGAGGCAUCUCUCCUGCGUGAAAGAUGGCCUCUAUAUAUAAGCUAUCACCUGUCGAUGGGCCUGCGUCUGAUUAGCUGGUAGGUGAGGUAACGGCUCACCUAGGCGACGAUCAGUAGCCGGUCUGAGAGGAUGAACGGCCACAUUGGGACUGAGACACGGCCCAGACUCCUACGGGAGGCAGCAGUGGGGAAUCUUCCGCAAUGGGCGCAAGCCUGACGGAGCAACGCCGCGUGAGUGAAGAAGGUCUUCGGAUCGUAAAGCUCUGUUGAUGGGGACGAACGUGCCUAAUGCGAAUAGUAUUAGGUAAUGACGGUACCCAUCGAGAG
Molecule: ribosomal RNA, 489 nt
Filed under: Centipeda noxia
Lineage: Bacteria; Bacillati; Bacillota; Negativicutes; Selenomonadales; Selenomonadaceae
Description: bacterial SSU rRNA
Rfam family: Bacterial small subunit ribosomal RNA
Source: RNAcentral